UGAAGGACGUGCUAAUCUGCGAAAAGCGUCGGUAAGGUGAUAUGAACCGUUACAGCCGGCGAUGUCCGAAUGGGGAAACCCAGUGUGAUUCGUCACACUAUCGUUAACUGAAUACAUAGGUUAACGAGGCGAACCGGGGGAACUGAAACAUCUAAGUACCCCGAGGAAAAGAAAUCAACCGAGAUUCCCCCAGUAGCGGCGAGCGAACGGGGAGCAGCCCAGAGUCUGAAUCAGCUUGUGUGUUAGUGGAACGGUCUGGAAAGUCCGACGGUACAGGGUGAUAGUCCCGUACACCAAAAUGCACAGGCUGUGAACUCGAAGAGUAGGGCGGGACACGUGGUAUCCUGUCUGAAUAUGGGGGGACCAUCCUCCAAGGCUAAAUACUCCUGACUGACCGAUAGUGAACCAGUACCGUGAGGGAAAGGCGAAAAGAACCCCGGCGAGGGGAGUGAAAAAGAACCUGAAACCGUGUACGUACAAGCAGUGGGAGCACCUUCGGGUGUGACUGCGUACCUUUUGUAUAAUGGGUCAGCGACUUAUAUUCUGUAGCAAGGUUAACCGUAUAGGGGAGCCGCAGGGAAACCGAGUCUUAACUGGGCGUUAAGUUGCAGGGUAUAGACCCGAAACCCGGUGAUCUAGCCAUGGGCAGGUUGAAGGUUGGGUAACACUAACUGGAGGACCGAACCGACUAAUGUUGAAAAAUUAGCGGAUGACUUGUGGCUGGGGGUGAAAGGCCAAUCAAACCGGGAGAUAGCUGGUUCUCCCCGAAAGCU
RNAcentral lists this ribosomal RNA (773 nucleotides) under Klebsiella pneumoniae. RNAcentral describes it as "partial 23S ribosomal RNA". It matches the Rfam family "Bacterial large subunit ribosomal RNA", at positions 50 to 867 of the family's 2925-position model. Lineage: Bacteria; Pseudomonadati; Pseudomonadota; Gammaproteobacteria; Enterobacterales; Enterobacteriaceae. The record is from RNAcentral.